Molecule: long non-coding RNA, 414 nt
Organism: Pieris rapae (cabbage white)
Lineage: Eukaryota; Metazoa; Arthropoda; Insecta; Lepidoptera; Pieridae
Exons: 2
Source: RefSeq, a predicted model, not a curated record
CUUAACCACUCUUUUGUACGUGGGUACUACAGUAACCAAAAAACAGUAUGGCCUCAUUCGUACGUGGUAACUACAGUACCCAAAACGAAGAGUUUAAGAAAAUGCCAUCUAGUUCAAACUGACCUAAGAAAUAAACGUUUUUAUCGACGUAGAACGAUAGCUUACGAAAUAGUGUACCCAAUUAACAACAGAUGGCAAUGAAAUAUGAAGAAUUCUUUGUACAAAAAAAAAUUCCAAAGUCGGUUAAGUGGUACUUGUCAAUUUUGUCAACAAGCGUAUCGAGUGUCGGCAAUUAUUUUAUAUAAUGGUUUUUGUUGCGAUGUAUCGGGCGCGGUGCGCGAGGGUCUAGGCCGCGUGAGUAGAUGUACAGAUGAGAUAUAAACAGUCGUGCGGCCCGUGCAAAAGAGAGGUUAA